Molecule: non-coding RNA, 55 nt
Organism: Caenorhabditis elegans
Lineage: Eukaryota; Metazoa; Nematoda; Chromadorea; Rhabditida; Rhabditidae
Source: Ensembl
UUGGGUCUGCUAAAUAUCAUUUUGUAGUUUGUAGUCUAGCAGACCCAAAUUUAUC